This 1171-nucleotide ribosomal RNA is filed under the name Salmonella enterica subsp. enterica serovar Enteritidis. Its description in RNAcentral is "partial 23S ribosomal RNA". It matches the Rfam family "Bacterial large subunit ribosomal RNA", at positions 1 to 1202 of the family's 2925-position model. The record is from RNAcentral. Lineage: Bacteria; Pseudomonadati; Pseudomonadota; Gammaproteobacteria; Enterobacterales; Enterobacteriaceae.
GGGUUGUGAGGUUAAGCGACUAAGCGUACACGGUGGAUGCCCUGGCAGUCAGAGGCGAUGAAGGGCGUGCUAAUCUGCGAUAAGCGCCGGUAAGGUGAUAUGAACCGUUAUAACCGGCGAUACCCGAAUGGGGAAACCCAGUGUGACUCGUCACACUAUCAUUAACUGAAUCCAUAGGUUAAUGAGGCGAACCGGGGGAACUGAAACAUCUAAGUACCCCGAGGAAAAGAAAUCAACCGAGAUUCCCCCAGUAGCGGCGAGCGAACGGGGAGGAGCCCAGAGCCUGAAUCAGCAUGUGUGUUAGUGGAAGCGUCUGGAAAGGCGCGCGAUACAGGGUGACAGCCCCGUACACAAAAGCGCAUGUGCUGUGAGCUCGAUGAGUAGGGCGGGACACGUGGUAUCCUGUCUGAAUAUGGGGGGACCAUCCUCCAAGGCUAAAUACUCCUGACUGACCGAUAGUGAACCAGUACCGUGAGGGAAAGGCGAAAAGAACCCCGGCGAGGGGAGUGAAAAAGAACCUGAAACCGUGUACGUACAAGCAGUGGGAGCACAGGUUUACCUGUGUGACUGCGUACCUUUUGUAUAAUGGGUCAGCGACUUAUAUUCUGUAGCAAGGUUAACCGAAUAGGGGAGCCGGAGGGAAACCGAGUCUUAAUUGGGCGUUAAGUUGCAGGGUAUAGACCCGAAACCCGGUGAUCUAGCCAUGGGCAGGUUGAAGGUUGGGUAACACUAACUGGAGGACCGAACCGACUAAUGUUGAAAAAUUAGCGGAUGACCUGUGGCUGGGGGUGAAAGGCCAAUCAAACCGGGAGAUAGCUGGUUCUCCCCGAAAGCUAUUUAGGUAGCGCCUCGUGAAUUCAUCUCCGGGGGUAGAGCACUGUUUCGGCUAGGGGGCCAUCCCGGCUUACCAACCCGAUGCAAACUGCGAAUACCGGAGAAUGUUAUCACGGGAGACACACGGCGGGUGCUAACGUCCGUCGUGAAGAGGGAAACAACCCAGACCGCCAGCUAAGGUCCCAAAGUCAUGGUUAAGUGGGAAACGAUGUGGGAAGGCCCAGACAGCCAGGAUGUUGGCUUAGAAGCAGCCAUCAUUUAAAGAAAGCGUAAUAGCUCACUGGUCGAGUCGGCCUGCGCGGAAGAUGUAACGGGGCUAAACCAUGCACCGAAGCUG